AACGAACGCUGGCGGCAUGCCUAACACAUGCAAGUCGAUCGAGACCUUCGGGUCUAGUGGCGCACGGGUGCGUAACGCGUGGGAACCUGCCCUUAGGUUCGGAAUAACUCCCCGAAAGGGGUGCUAAUACCGGAUAAUGUCUUCGGACCAAAGAUUUAUCGCCUUUGGAUGGGCCCGCGUUGGAUUAGCUAGUUGGUAGGGUAAAAGCCUACCAAGGCGACGAUCCAUAGCUGGUCUGAGAGGAUGAUCAGCCACACUGGGACUGAGACACGGCCCAGACUCCUACGGGAGGCAGCAGUGGGGAAUAUUGGACAAUGGGCGAAAGCCUGAUCCAGCAAUGCCGCGUGAGUGAUGAAGGCCUUAGGGUUGUAAAGCUCUUUUACCCGGGAUGAUAAUGACAGUACCGGGAGAAUAAGCUCCGGCUAACUCC
Molecule: ribosomal RNA, 430 nt
Filed under: uncultured bacterium
Lineage: Bacteria
Description: partial 16S ribosomal RNA
Rfam family: Bacterial small subunit ribosomal RNA
Source: RNAcentral